GCCUCACAAAGCCGUUGCCCAUGACGUGGUGGGGCUGGGGGGGUCCCAGGGGAGGUGGGGGGGCCCCAGGGGGGUCCCAGCCUUACGAAGCCGUUGCCCAUGAUGCGGUAAAGCCCCUUGAGCGACUCCAGGUCCUUGUUGGUGAAGUGGAAUUGCACCAUACGGGAAUUGCGGAACAGGGGGCCCAGCGUGGUC
Gopherus flavomarginatus (Mexican gopher tortoise) is the source of this 195-nucleotide long non-coding RNA. RefSeq lists it as uncharacterized. NCBI's taxonomy places the organism in Eukaryota, Metazoa, Chordata, Testudines, Testudinidae. The transcript has 2 exons. The record is from RefSeq and is a predicted model, not a curated record.